AGGGUUGUAGUUAAUUAUAACAUUUGAGUUGCAUUCAAAAAGUAUUGAAAUCUAAUCAAUCAACCUUA
RNAcentral lists this transfer RNA (68 nucleotides) under Hieroglyphus annulicornis. RNAcentral describes it as "tRNA-Ala". The record is from RNAcentral. Lineage: Eukaryota; Metazoa; Arthropoda; Insecta; Orthoptera; Acrididae.